This 349-nucleotide long non-coding RNA is filed under the name Vigna radiata. RNAcentral describes it as "long non-coding RNA (VRAD_LNC012813)". The record is from RNAcentral. Lineage: Eukaryota; Viridiplantae; Streptophyta; Magnoliopsida; Fabales; Fabaceae.
CAACCUUAAUUGUGGGAGUGGUAGGGUGCUUUAGUAACUCUUCCUCUUCUUCUUUUAUCUCAAUCUCUUCUUUUUCUCUCUUUUCUUUCUCAUUCCAUUCUUUCAUCUUCUUCUCUUCAUACUCUCUUUUUCUUCCUCCUUUUUCUGUCUUCUUACUUGCACCUCUCUCUUUCUCUCUUUUCUCAUGCUCCUCUUUCUCCCUUUGUUCUUUCUUCCUUCUUUUGUCUUCCUCUUUUCUUCUCUUUAUCUUCCUUAAAUCCUUUUGGACCUUUUCUUGUUUUUUAUUAAAAGUUCUAAGCUCUUCUUCCAACUUAGCAAGGUACUCUUCUCUUUCAAUUCUUUCUUUUUC